This 388-nucleotide ribosomal RNA is filed under the name Acanthamoeba sp. Its description in RNAcentral is "SSU rRNA". It matches the Rfam family "Eukaryotic small subunit ribosomal RNA", at positions 784 to 1079 of the family's 1831-position model. The record is from RNAcentral. Lineage: Eukaryota; Discosea; Longamoebia; Acanthamoebidae.
AUUUUCUGCCACCGAAUACAUUAGCAUGGGAUAAUGGAAUAGGACCCUGUCCUCCUAUUUUCAGUUGGUUUUGGCAGCGCGAGGACUAGGGUAAUGAUUAAUAGGGAUAGUUGGGGGCAUUAAUAUUUAAUUGUCAGAGGUGAAAUUCUUGGAUUUAUGAAAGAUUAACUUCUGCGAAAGCAUCUGCCAAGGAUGUUUUCAUUAAUCAAGAACGAAAGUUAGGGGAUCGAAGACGAUCAGAUACCGUCGUAGUCUUAACCAUAAACGAUGCCGACCAGCGAUUAGGAGACGUUGAAUACAAAACACCACCAUCGGUGCGGUCGUCCUUGGCGUCGGUUUCGGCCGGCGCGGGGGCGGCUUAGCCCGGUGGCACCGGUGAAUGACUCCC